RNAcentral lists this ribosomal RNA (1157 nucleotides) under Citrobacter braakii. Its description in RNAcentral is "partial 23S ribosomal RNA". It matches the Rfam family "Bacterial large subunit ribosomal RNA", at positions 1660 to 2797 of the family's 2925-position model. The record is from RNAcentral. Lineage: Bacteria; Pseudomonadati; Pseudomonadota; Gammaproteobacteria; Enterobacterales; Enterobacteriaceae.
CAGGUGGUCAGGUAGAGAAUACCAAGGCGCUUGAGAGAACUCGGGUGAAGGAACUAGGCAAAAUGGUGCCGUAACUUCGGGAGAAGGCACGCUGAUAUGUAGGUGAAGUGAUUUACUCAUGGAGCUGAAAUCAGUCGAAGAUACCAGCUGGCUGCAACUGUUUAUUAAAAACACAGCACUGUGCAAACACGAAAGUGGACGUAUACGGUGUGACGCCUGCCCGGUGCCGGAAGGUUAAUUGAUGGGGUUAUCCGUAAGGAGAAGCUCUUGAUCGAAGCCCCGGUAAACGGCGGCCGUAACUAUAACGGUCCUAAGGUAGCGAAAUUCCUUGUCGGGUAAGUUCCGACCUGCACGAAUGGCGUAAUGAUGGCCAGGCUGUCUCCACCCGAGACUCAGUGAAAUUGAACUCGCUGUGAAGAUGCAGUGUACCCGCGGCAAGACGGAAAGACCCCGUGAACCUUUACUAUAGCUUGACACUGAACACUGGUCCUUGAUGUGUAGGAUAGGUGGGAGGCUUUGAAGUGUGGACGCCAGUCUGCAUGGAGCCAACCUUGAAAUACCACCCUUUAAUGGCUGGUGUUCUAACGUAGACCCGUGAUCCGGGUUGCGGACAGUGUCUGGUGGGUAGUUUGACUGGGGCGGUCUCCUCCUAAAGAGUAACGGAGGAGCACGAAGGUUAGCUAAUCCUGGUCGGACAUCAGGAGGUUAGUGCAAAGGCAUAAGCUAGCUUGACUGCGAGAGUGACGGCUCGAGCAGGUGCGAAAGCAGGUCUUAGUGAUCCGGUGGUUCUGAAUGGAAGGGCCAUCGCUCAACGGAUAAAAGGUACUCCGGGGAUAACAGGCUGAUACCGCCCAAGAGUUCAUAUCGACGGCGGUGUUUGGCACCUCGAUGUCGGCUCAUCACAUCCUGGGGCUGAAGUAGGUCCCAAGGGUAUGGCUGUUCGCCAUUUAAAGUGGUACGCGAGCUGGGUUUAGAACGUCGUGAGACAGUUCGGUCCCUAUCUGCCGUGGGCGCUGGAGAAUUGAGGGGGGCUGCUCCUAGUACGAGAGGACCGGAGUGGACGCAUCACUGGUGUUCGGGUUGUCAUGCCAAUGGCAUUGCCCGGUAGCUAAAUGCGGAAGAGAUAAGUGCUGAAAGCAUCUAAGCACGAAACUUGC